GACAUAGGGGGCAAGCGUUGUCCGGAAUUACUGGGCGUAAAGCGAGCGUAGGCGGUUUAUUAAGUUAAGUGUGAAAGCCUGGGGCUUAACUCCAGAACUGCACUUAAUACUGGUAAACUAGAGUGUUGGAGAGGUAAGUGGAAUUCCUAGUGUAGCGGUAGAAUGCGUAGAUAUUAGGAGGAACAUCAGAGGCGAAGGCGGCUUACUGGACAAUAACUGACGCUGAGGCUCGAAAGUGUGGGGAGCAAACAGG
RNAcentral lists this ribosomal RNA (253 nucleotides) under uncultured bacterium. RNAcentral's name for it is "partial 16S ribosomal RNA". It matches the Rfam family "Bacterial small subunit ribosomal RNA", at positions 524 to 776 of the family's 1533-position model. The record is from RNAcentral.